AACGCUAGCUACAGGCUUAACACAUGCAAGUCGAGGGGCAGCAUGGUCUUAGCUUGCUAAGGCCGAUGGCGACCGGCGCACGGGUGAGUAACACGUAUCCAACCUGCCGUCUACUCUUGGACAGCCUUCUGAAAGGAAGAUUAAUACAAGAUGGCAUCAUGAGUCCGCAUGUUCACAUGAUUAAAGGUAUUCCGGUAGACGAUGGGGAUGCGUUCCAUUAGAUAGUAGGCGGGGUAACGGCCCACCUAGUCUUCGAUGGAUAGGGGUUCUGAGAGGAAGGUCCCCCACAUUGGAACUGAGACACGGUCCAAACUCCUACGGGAGGCAGCAGUGAGGAAUAUUGGUCAAUGGGCGCAGGCCUGAACCAGCCAAGUAGCGUGAAGGAUGACUGCCCUAUGGGUUGUAAACUUCUUUUAUAAAGGAAUAAAGUGAGGCACGUGUGCCUUUUCGUAUGUACCGUAUGAAUAAGGAUCGGCUAACUCCGUGCCAGCAGCCGCGGUAAUACGGAGGAUCCGAGCGUUAUCCGGAUUUAUUGGGUUUAAAGGGAGCGUAGGCGGACGCUUAAGUCAGUUAUGAAAGUUUGCGGCUCAACCGUAAAAUUGCAGUUGAUACUGGGUGUCUUGAGUACAGUAGAGGCAGGCGGAAUUCGUGGUGUAGCGGUGAAAUGCUUAGAUAUCACGAAGAACUCCGAUUG
This 694-nucleotide ribosomal RNA is filed under the name uncultured Bacteroidales bacterium. Its description in RNAcentral is "bacterial SSU rRNA". It matches the Rfam family "Bacterial small subunit ribosomal RNA", at positions 32 to 715 of the family's 1533-position model. The record is from RNAcentral. Lineage: Bacteria; Pseudomonadati; Bacteroidota; Bacteroidia; Bacteroidales.